AUGCAUCUGUUUGACAGACCCGAAGCAGUUACUGUCUGCUUCUAGAUUUCCAUUAAAGAUGCAAGAAAAGAGCUUCCUCGUGCUUUCUGUCUUUCUGAUUGCAAUAGCCAAGACUGAAUGGAGGAACACAGAG
This is a small nucleolar RNA of Nannospalax galili (Upper Galilee mountains blind mole rat), 133 nucleotides long. NCBI's taxonomy places the organism in Eukaryota, Metazoa, Chordata, Mammalia, Rodentia, Spalacidae. The record is from Ensembl.